This 253-nucleotide ribosomal RNA is filed under the name uncultured bacterium. Its description in RNAcentral is "partial 16S ribosomal RNA". It matches the Rfam family "Bacterial small subunit ribosomal RNA", at positions 524 to 776 of the family's 1533-position model. The record is from RNAcentral.
UACGUAGGGCGCAAGCGUUGUCCGGAAUUAUUGGGCGUAAAGAGCUCGUAGGCGGUCUGUCGCGUCGGCUGUGAAAACCUGAGGCUCAACCUCAGGCCUGCAGUCGAUACGGGCAGACUAGAGUGCGGUAGGGGAGACUGGAAUUCCUGGUGUAGCGGUGAAAUGCGCAGAUAUCAGGAGGAACACCGGUGGCGAAGGCGGGUCUCUGGGCCGUAACUGACGCUGAGGAGCGAAAGCGUGGGGAGCGAACAGG